Molecule: long non-coding RNA, 884 nt
Organism: Magnolia sinica
Lineage: Eukaryota; Viridiplantae; Streptophyta; Magnoliopsida; Magnoliales; Magnoliaceae
Exons: 2
Source: RefSeq, a predicted model, not a curated record
UAGGAAUCAACUACAUUUGAAGGCAUCCUCAAGGAGUCAUACAUUCAAUGCCUCUAUGUACAUAUGAUUGUAAAGGUUGAUGUGGGUCCUUGCUGAUAAAAUUUUGUUGGAAAUCAUAUAUUUAGAGAGGAUCAAGAGAAGUUGUUGACAGAUAUGUUGCAGUACAUACUGGGUGUAUAUUUUCUCAUUCAUGUAUGCUAGUGCGUGUGAAUAGAUCAUAUAAUAAGUUGUGGAAACUGUUCCAUGUACAAUGAUAUUCAUGUGAGACAAAUAUACAUAUAUGCCUGGAAUGUUAUGCAUUUCUCUAAUUCGACCCGCUCAGCUACUGUAUUAAUCCAAGAAAAUUUCAGAGUUAACAUGAACAACAUAUUCUUGGUACAGAAAGAGGCCAGUUGUUCAUUCUAAGUCCUUGUAGAGUAAGUUUAUUUUACAACUGAAUGACCUGCAAAUGAUGUAAUUGCAAUCCUACUUCCUUCUAAUAUUACUGUAUUUACUCUUGAUUUUUCUGGAUAGGGCUUAUCUGGUGGAGAUUAUGUCAGCCCUGGUUGGCAUGAGAAAGAUGAUCUGAAUACAGUGGUUUCUUUUCUACGGAGCAACCAGCAAAUUUCAUGCAUAGGGCUUUGGGGACGAUCAAUGGGUGCCGUCAUAAGGUGGUUAUACAUCAUCCUCUAUUCAAUGAUUUCUUACACUGCUAAACUCAUGAGGCAUUCUUAAUUAGUUUUACAAUGAAGACGACCAUUCCAGCUGUAAAAAAUAUGUAUUUGUAUCAUAUUAUGAGAUGGUGAAUUAAGGAAUUCCCACAUUUGCUUAGCAUCGGUAUAAUGUAAUAGUAAGAAGUGCUCCCUUGUUGCUUCAUUACUUGAAAAAGAAAAGGAACUUCAACU